RNAcentral lists this ribosomal RNA (467 nucleotides) under uncultured bacterium. RNAcentral's name for it is "partial 16S ribosomal RNA". It matches the Rfam family "Bacterial small subunit ribosomal RNA", at positions 28 to 506 of the family's 1533-position model. The record is from RNAcentral.
GACGAACGCUGGCGGCGUGCUUAACACAUGCAAGUCGAACGGAAAGGCCCUGCUUUUGUGGGGUGCUCGAGUGGCGAACGGGUGAGUAACACGUGAGUAACCUGCCCUUGACUUUGGGAUAACUUCAGGAAACUGGGGCUAAUACCGGAUAGGAGCUCCUGCUGCAUGGUGGGGGUUGGAAAGUUUCGGCGGUUGGGGAUGGACUCGCGGCUUAUCAGCUUGUUGGUGGGGUAGUGGCUUACCAAGGCUUUGACGGGUAGCCGGCCUGAGAGGGUGACCGGCCACAUUGGGUCUGAGAGACGGCCCAGACUCCUACGGGAGGGAGGAGGGGGGAAUAUUGCACAAUGGGCGGAAGCCUGAUGCAGCAACGCCGCGUGCGGGAGGACGGCCUUCGGGUUGUAAACCGCUUUCGCCUGUGACGAAGCGUGAGUGACGGUAAUGGGUAAAGAAGCACCGGCUAACUACGU